This 333-nucleotide ribosomal RNA is filed under the name Escherichia coli. RNAcentral describes it as "partial 23S ribosomal RNA". It matches the Rfam family "Bacterial large subunit ribosomal RNA", at positions 1555 to 1869 of the family's 2925-position model. Lineage: Bacteria; Pseudomonadati; Pseudomonadota; Gammaproteobacteria; Enterobacterales; Enterobacteriaceae. The record is from RNAcentral.
GCUGAGGCGUGAUGACGAGGCACUACGGUGCUGAAGCAACAAAUGCCCUGCUUCCAGGAAAAGCCUCUAAGCAUCAGGUAACAUCAAAUCGUACCCCAAACCGACACAGGUGGUCAGGUAGAGAAUACCAAGGCGCUUGAGAGAACUCGGGUGAAGGAACUAGGCAAAAUGGUGCCGUAACUUCGGGAGAAGGCACGCUGAUAUGUAGGUGAAGUCCCUCGCGGAUGGAGCUGAAAUCAGUCGAAGAUACCAGCUGGCUGCAACUGUUUAUUAAAAACACAGCACUGUGCAAACACGAAAGUGGACGUAUACGGUGUGACGCCUGCCCGGUGC